Molecule: ribosomal RNA, 492 nt
Filed under: uncultured bacterium
Lineage: Bacteria
Description: partial 16S ribosomal RNA
Rfam family: Bacterial small subunit ribosomal RNA
Source: RNAcentral
AGUGAACGCUGGCGGUAGGCCUAACACAUGCAAGUCGAACGGCAGCACAGUAAGAGCUUGCUCUUACGGGUGGCGAGUGGCGGAUGGGUGAGGAAUACAUCGGAAUCUACUUUUUCGUGGGGGAUAACGUAGGGAAACUUACGCUAAUACCGCAUACGACCUACGGGUGAAAGCAGGGGAUCCUCGGACCUUGCGCGAUUGAAUGAGCCGAUGUCGGAUUAGCUAGUUGGCGGGGUAAAGGCCCACCAAGGCGACGAUCCGUAGCUGGUCUGAGAGGAUGAUCAGCCACACUGGAACUGAGACACGGUCCAGACUCCUACGGGAGGCAGCAGUGGGGAAUAUUGGACAAUGGGCGCAAGCCUGAUCCAGCCAUACCGCGUGGGUGAAGAAGGCCUUCGGGUUGUAAAGCCCUUUUGUUGGGAAAGAAAAGCAGCAGGUUAAUACCCCGCUGUUCUGACGGUACCCAAAGAAUAAGCACCGGCUAACUUCGUG